RNAcentral lists this ribosomal RNA (303 nucleotides) under Triticum aestivum (bread wheat). RNAcentral's name for it is "partial small subunit ribosomal RNA". Lineage: Eukaryota; Viridiplantae; Streptophyta; Magnoliopsida; Poales; Poaceae. The record is from RNAcentral.
AUGGAUUGGUUGCAAGAGGGGCCUGCAACAAUACAGACGAUCCUGCCCUACCUCUCCCUUCUUGUUGCAGACAUUCUCCAUCGCUUCAUUGCGCGGGAUCCACUACCCAGACAGCCCCUAGCCGACGACGCCCCGUGUCCCUUGAGUCAAUGCGUGGAUGAUACACUCAUCAUCAUGAGGGCUAGCGUCGAGGCAACAACUUGGAUGAAGGCGAUCAUGGACAUGUUCUUCAACGCCAUUGGGCCCGUGAUCAAAUUCAACAAGGACGGUGCCAUGGCCCAGGGGUGCCGCAGGACACCGUAA